GUGGGGAAUCUUAGACAAUGGGGGAAACCCUGAUCUAGCCAUGCCGCGUGAGCGAUGAAGGCCUUAGGGUUGUAAAGCUCUUUCAGCUGGGAAGAUAAUGACGGUACCAGCAGAAGAAGCCCCGGCUAACUCCGUGCCAGCAGCCGCGGUAAUACGGAGGGGGCUAGCGUUGUUCGGAAUUACUGGGCGUAAAGCGCGCGUAGGCGGACCAGAAAGUUGGAGGUGAAAUCCCAGGGCUCAACCUUGGAACUGCCUUCAAAACUCCUGGUCUGGAGUUCGAGAGAGGUGAGUGGAAUUCCGAGUGUAGAGGUGAAAUUCGUAGAUAUUCGGAGGAACACCAGUGGCGAAGGCGGCUACCUAGACAGAGACUGACGCUGAUGCACGAAAGCGUGGGGAGCAAACAGGAUUAGAUACCCGGGUAGUCC
RNAcentral lists this ribosomal RNA (425 nucleotides) under uncultured bacterium. Its description in RNAcentral is "partial 16S ribosomal RNA". It matches the Rfam family "Bacterial small subunit ribosomal RNA", at positions 354 to 796 of the family's 1533-position model. The record is from RNAcentral.